AGAAAGUGAUGGUAUCAGAAUGGCAGGAGGGCCCAGCAAGGAACUGAAACUUGAUUCCUUUGUCACUACCUGCUGUGAGUGGACCUGAAAUACAGAAAUCCUUCUGCUCUGUUGUAACAGCAAGAAGAUGCUGCUUCUGGAACUCUAUGAGAUGGUUCUUUCUGGCCACUCAGCUCACAUGUCACUCCACAGAGGCGUGAGUCUAACGUUGUUACUGUCUCCUAUAUCAAGCCGCCGUCUUCAAACACUAAGAGAUCGUCACGAUCCAGUGAGGUGCUCGCAUCAGAGUUGAGUGCCUGUCAUCCCCAAGAAGAGCAAAGUGCUUGUUGCUCUUGGUCCCGAGCAGACACCAGAGCAAGAGUUGGCAUAGAAGGGCCCCGGUGAGGAAACGCAUUGGAAGAGUGAGUGCAUGGAUUAAAAAAUGCAGUGUGCCAGGAAGGGCCUGGGCCACUGGGUCCUUCCAGCUGCUUCUCUGGAGAGCAGAAAAGGGGGUGGGGGUGCUUGACUUGCUCACAACAUGUUUUGGGGUUUGCCUAGGAUGUGUUAUGAAUCAGUGCCAGGGAUUGCCCAUCCCUUGUGCUCUGACCCAGUCAAAUAUUUUGCUUGUAAAGCUAUUAAAGAGGUAGAGAUAACGGC
Molecule: long non-coding RNA, 636 nt
Filed under: Rattus norvegicus (Norway rat)
Lineage: Eukaryota; Metazoa; Chordata; Mammalia; Rodentia; Muridae
Description: long non-coding RNA NONRATT012813
Source: RNAcentral